GACGCAGUAGGAUAGGCGAAGCGUGCUGUUGGAGUGCACGUCCAAGCAGUGAGAUUGAGUGUUAGGCAAAUCCGGCACUCUUAAGAUUGAGCUGUGAUGGGGAGAGGAACUUGUUCCUCGAGUCGUUGAUUUCACACUGCCGAGAAAAGCCUCUAGCUAGAAUAACGGUGCCCGUACCGCAAACCGACACAGGUAGUCAAGAUGAGAAUUCUAAGGUGAGCGAGCGAACUCUCGUUAAGGAACUCGGCAAAAUGACCCCGUAACUUCGGGAGAAGGGGUGCUCUUUGAGGUUCACGCUUCGAAGAGCCGCAGUGAAUAGGCCCAAGCGACUGUUUAUCAAAAACACAGGUCUCUGCUAAACCGUAAGGUGACGUAUAGGGGCUGACGCCUGCCCGGUGCUGGAAGGUUAAGAGGAGUGGUUAGCGCAAGCGAAGCUACGAAUCGAAGCCCCAGUAAACGGCGGCCGUAACUAUAACGGUCCUAAGGUAGCGAAAUUCCUUGUCGGGUAAGUUCCGACCCGCACGAAAGGCGUAACGAUUUGGGCACUGUCUCAACGAGAGACUCGGUGAAAUCAUAGUACCGGUGAAGAUGCCGGUUACCCGCGACAGGACGGAAAGACCCCGUGGAGCUUUACUGUAGCCUGAUAUUGAAAUUCGGUACAGUUUGUACAGGAUAGGUAGGAGCCUUAGAAGCGUGAGCGCUAGCUUACGUGGAGGCAUUGGUGGGAUACUACCCUAAUUGUAUUGGAUUUCUAACCCGCAGCACUUAUCGUGCUGGGAGACAGUGUCAGGCGGGCAGUUUGACUGGGGCGGUCGCCUCCUAAAGAGUAACGGAGGCGCUCAAAGGUUCCCUCAGAAUGGUUGGAAAUCAUUCAUAGAGUGUAAAGGCAUAAGGGAGCUUGACUGCGAGACCUACAAGUCGAGCAGGGUCGAAAGACGGACUUAGUGAUCCGGUGGUUCCGCAUGGAAGGGCCAUCGCUCAACGGAUAAAAGCUACCCCGGGGAUAACAGGCUUAUCUCCCCCAAGAGUUCACAUCGACGGGGAGGUUUGGCACCUCGAUGUCGGCUCAUCGCAUCCUGGGGCUGUAGUCGGUCCCAAGGGUUGGGCUGUUCGCCCAUUAAAGCGGUACGCGAGCUGGGUUCAGAACGUCGUGAGACAGUUCGGUCCCUAUCCGUCGUGGGCGUAGGAAAUUUGAGAGGAGCUGUCCUUAGUACGAGA
RNAcentral lists this ribosomal RNA (1218 nucleotides) under Staphylococcus pseudintermedius. RNAcentral describes it as "partial 23S ribosomal RNA". It matches the Rfam family "Bacterial large subunit ribosomal RNA", at positions 1471 to 2688 of the family's 2925-position model. The record is from RNAcentral. Lineage: Bacteria; Bacillati; Bacillota; Bacilli; Caryophanales; Staphylococcaceae.